GUAAGUAUUUCCCUCGAAGUGACUACUGUCGUGGCCGGUCGCGAUCUUUCUCGCCGCACUGUUCGCGGAAUCGGGUCCCCAACGGCGCGUGGCGUCUGGGUUCGAGCGUAACUCGCCGCCGUCCUUCCCCUGUGCGAAGAGGACCCCGUGCGGUAAGCGCUCGCACUCGCAUAGAAAACGGCGCCGUGUGUAUGUGUGCGUGGCCCCUCGUCCAGCGAUUACCGUGCGUUUGAUUCGUACGUUUGACUCGUGGCUCGGAUACCGCGAUCGUACGUCGCGUCGUUCCGCAUCGACCGUUCCGUCUUACGCUUUGAACGUCUCGCGUCUCGUGAAUCUCGCGUCGAGUGAAGUUGUCGCUCUCCCUCCACCUAACCAUCAUUUUGGCAUUAGUGAGGCAGGGACGUUACGAAGCGGAUUGAUCGUCGAGCUGCGACGCGUUUAAUCACGGUAAAUACAGCCUGCUGGUAAAUUCAGCCCGUAGGGGUCUGACGAUACCUGUCGUUUACGUAGCGUGAGUUCACGCGUGGACGACGAUUCGUUAGGAAUUCGAUGUGUUCGUUCGAUCGAGAUUCGUCGCGUUGGCGCCAGCGCCAUUGGCGGUCUGCAAGGUAACAAUUAUAUGUCGCGUCGCUUCGCGAGACGUGAUUGUAGUACUUGUAUCCUAGCCUUUUUCUCUCUCUCUCUCUCUCUCUCUCACUCUCUCCCUCCCUCUCUCUCUUCCCCAUACGUUGAUUAGGAUUGCGGCGUAAUUAAUAGAGCGCGCGUCUCGUUCGAUUAACACCGGGAGUGCCGUUCAUAGUAACGCGUGAUCAUCGAUUUCGGUAACUUGUACGCGAUCGUAAUUAACGUUCUCGCGAGUGAGCUGUGCGUGUGUGUGCGUGUUGGCUGAGAGGACGACGAGGCCCGGGGAGACAUCGGGCGACGGUGGAGCAACCUCGAGAUUAACGUACACAACGUAGUUACAAUUCCACUGUUGCGCGUCACGUGUUGGUGAGUAACGAAUUAUCUUUUAUUUUAAUUUGAGGUAAUGGAUCUAUGAAAAAAAUAUUACGGAUAAAUGCGAAACUUCACAGAUCCAUUGCCUUGAAAUGGAUAGGCUAGAGGAUAAAGUUAAUAUAUUAAUAUAUUUAAUUUUGGAAUAUCUGUUGAUUUAUCACACAGGUGAGAUUAUACUAGCUUUACAGAACAGAACAAUUGUUUGUUAUUUUUGGCAGAAUAUUAAUUACAAAUUGAUUGCCUCUGUCCUAUUAUGUUAAUUGUCCUCUCCCAAAAAGAAAAGGUUGUAGGUAUAAAUAAAAAGAUGAAGUAUCGCAAAUAUUUUUACAAAUAAAAAUUAAAAAAAAAAUUAAAAGUUUGGUGAAAAGUACUUAAUUAUUUAUAAAAGUGAGUGUUUUGGUAUUUUUAGUUUUUUUGCAGAAUUAAUUAUCAGUACAAGAUCAAUGAUGUUCAAAGAUUUUUUUCAUUGCCUAUUAAACAUAAAAUGAAAUAAAACAAAAACAAGAAAUAUUUCAAUGAUUAGUCAUAGUGCAAUCCAAGUAAUUUAUUUAACAAAGAACGUAAUAAUUUGUAAUCAUAUUUGUUCUUUCAUAUUGCGCCGAUUUCUAUUGCAAUCUUUCAUAUCCACGUUUAUCGAUAGCUUCAACGCUUCCCUUGAAACAAAUUAAAAUGAAACAGAGUUCGAUGAAUAUUUCAACGCGAAAGAACAAAUCGGUACGCGUGUAAGCACGAUUACCUGAACGCGUGGUAUCAUCGGCUUAUAACACCCGGAAGUUCCUGACGUUUCCCGCGUAUAUCCGUCUCUAAUUAAUUCCAAGAGUUACCCUAUUAGAAUAUCGUACAGUGAUUAUUGGACACCCCGUGGAUUUCAAGCCGCAUAGCAGCCGGGCUUGUUUUGUCCUGGCAGACCGAGGGAUACCGGUGAUUUAUUAGCACAGGCAAGCAAAUCCUUGUCGCAUGCAAAUAGAAUAAACGAAUAGAAAAAAGAAACGCGCAAAUGAUGCAGCCGCGAGCGUGUUAUGGGGCGAUAAAAGAUUACUGGCAGCAGAGAGAGAAAGAAGGGGAGAGAGAGAGAGAGGGAUAGUAGUGCGGGAUGAGUCUGCGCGUAAAAAACAAAAUUAAAAACCACGACGAAAUGUGCAGAAAUUGGAGAUGAAAUCAAUUCGCGCGGUAGCUCCGCCAUGCGGAAAUAUACCAUGUGCAUUAAUUUCAUUUAUCGAAUUUCGGUACAAAGCAAGCCCUAUAGGAAAAAAGAAUAGCAAAUUGAAGAGCUUUUAUACGUCAGACUUAUAUGUCCUAUACAGUUUCAGUGUCCCUCUUUUCGCCGUUAUCGAAAAUACCUGCCGUAAUUUCAUAUUGUUAAAUUCUAUUUUAAAGUAAAAAAAAAAAAAAUUACCACGUCGACGAACGAGAAAACUCGCGUGCGUGGCUUUCAAUUUUCGGAAGGUUUUUUGGAGACGUGUUUAUGCGGGGCUUCUUGGAAAUCGCCUCGGCUUCCUGGAAGUCGCGGUUAGACUUUUUUUUCUUCCUAGAACUGCCGAUUCCCGAGGUGACCAAUCAGCUGCUCGUCUCUCCCAUAACUUUACCCCCUCCAACGCAUACGACUCAGUUCCGCCGCGAGGACACGAGUGGUAAGAUCGUCGUGCUGUUUACGCUCCGCGAUCGCGCGUUUUUCCGUCUUGUACGAGCGUCAAAUCGAGCAACAGGCGAUCGCUUCAGUCGCAAUCUUUCGUGCCACGUUUUUGAGAGAUAACUUUCGGGAAACGUCGUAUGUGAUGAACAUCUCGAUUUGAUAUCUCGAAUAUGUCGCGUUUUCGUUCGCAGUGCUCGCGACUCGCCUGAAACUUUUCCCUGUUUUUUGUUUCGUCGACGUCGAAAUUUAUUAAGAUAUUAAAGAGUGUGUGUCGCAAUUGGCCUCUCUUCGAAAAAAUUGUUUAUUCGCACCAAGUUGGCCGACGUUUCCCCCUUUCUCUCCUCUAAAUUUCGAUAUGUAUUUUCGAUUCGGGAGACGAUGUCGAACGCGCCUCAUCAGUCAUGUUACUUAUUUCGUGACCGGAUGUCUUUUCCUCCUACUGUCGAAAGUGAAUAUCGCGAACAAUGGUGAUUGACCUUGAUGCGUUCGUUACUACGUGCAAGGUGUGAAAAAUGGAGGAACGUCAUGCGCGUGAAAUACGCGGAGGUUAUUUAAUGUCGUGAAGUGCGUAGACAUUCGCGUCGCAUUUCACCUCGCUCGUCCGAAGGUGGUUUCGCAUGCUUCGUUUCGUCGAUACGAAAAUCAAUCGAGCCUCACUUGCGUCGCGAUCAGUCUCUUUCGAGUAGUGUAUUCGCAUAGAGGUGAUCUUCGCGUGCAGUUUUUCUUUCCAAAUUUUCAGUCAGGUCAGUAUGUUAGUCCCGUCGGGAGAUACGGGCGCGUCGAUCUCAGUGCCGUGAAGUGCGUCGCUUGUCUGAAGAUAAUUCUUCGUUUCGUCGAUAAAAAUUUUGAUUGAGAUCUCAAAGGUGGAGCUCCACUCGUGUGACGGUGUCUCCCUACUUGAAGGAAAGUGUACCCGCAAGAUGGCUCUCGCAAGCCCUUCCGAUUGCUUCCGAUUAUUUCCAAAUUUUCGGCAAGUACUUCAUUUCCCUCGGACGUCGAGCGUGCAAAGUCGUAUUAUUUAUUUCGUAAUCGCGUAUCUUUUUCUUCGUCGAAAGUUGAUAUUACGAACGGGUGAUCGCUCCGCGUGUUUUUCGGUCUGUGCAAUUCCUGGAAAAUUCGUAAAUGUCCCGUCGCGAUAACCUAACCUAACCUAACCUAACCUGAUUGUCCGGUCGGUCGCGCGGUCGUACGGCGUUAAGUUGCGUGAGUAACAGUGAUAGCAGGAGCAAAAUUAAGGAUACGUGCCAUAGCAGGAGAAAGGAAAAGCCGGAAGCAGAAACAGGACUAUGGUAACAGCACAUCGACCGGUGAGUGAGUUACUUGUUGCAUUGUUAUCAUUUAUCGCUUGGAAUCUUCAAUAUUAUUUUUUAUCCCCCGAAAAUCGUGGGAUUUUGUUGAUAUAUAUAUAUUCGGGGAAACUUGGGAGGAACUCCACUUUCCAAUUAAAAUUCUCGGACAAGCUUAAUUGUUUCCUCGAGCAUUUCUUUUAUCUAAUUGCUUUGCGUGAUCGAUUAGCAAUAAAAAUUCUCUCGUACAGUCCCUUGUGACUCGCGAGUUUUUAUAAAAAAAAAAUAUUGCUAACGAAUGGAAGACACCUUUCGAGCUCUGUUCCCGUAAACUAGAGCCGUGUCGCGGACAGACCGUAUUCAAACCGCGUGCGUUGUAGCGUUUACGUAAAUGUGUCGUCCGUGUACUUUUCGCCGCGGGCUCGGCGCGCGACGCGUUACGUUUUGAUAAACUCGCGGUGGCGGCGGCGAAUGGAGCACCCAAGAAAUCCGCCGAUAAUCCGAUAUAAUGACGAUGACGAAAGUAAGGGCGACGAUAAAAGGUAAACGAUGGUCUCGUCACAUCUUUCAGCCGGAUAGCGUGGCGAGUCCUUUUUCCACGGCACGGCGGCGUCACCAUUCCUCCCCUCUCACCUCCCUUUCUCGCUCUCUCUCUCUCUCUCUCUCUUUCUCUCGCCUCCCUCGUUCUCUGUCACCACGCCGUACGUCGGUCGCUCAAUUCCCGACGAAAUGGAAUAUCGAUACGCGGAACAUCCCGAGGGAAGUGUAGCGAAUAUUGAAAAAUUCUUGCCUGAAAGAAAAAAAAGCGGGAGCGAGAAGGGAGAGAAACGAGGGACAGAGAGAUAGAAAGAUAGAGAGGAAGAGAGAGAGAGAGAGAGAGAGAGAGAGAGAGAGAGAGAGAGAGAGAGAGAGAGAGAGAGAGAGAGAGAGAGACGCGUCACAGAGUCGUUUGCAUUUUUGGAAAAUAUAAUCGACCGGCUUGAAUUGAUCGGUGCCGAGACAAUUGGCCGGCGCUCGUCGCCGUUGGUUUGCUUUCGCUCGAAUUCACCGUUUGCGGACGCGCCGUGGAAAAAUCGCUGAUCGGCGACGCGACGCGACCUGGAAUUUAUUCUCACAACAAUGUGCGUGUUAUUGCAAUCCGCGAUUUGAAAUGUAUGCAUCCCCGCCGUCGGCUUCGUCGACUCCGAUAAUAGAAACGUUUCGCUUAGGACGAACCGAUUGCAUCGCUAUUCCGAUUCCUCGUCAUUGUCGUACAGAGUCUGGUCAAUAAUAAUAAUGACAGUUAUAUUUUGAUUGCAAGUUUGAUUAAAGAAAUAUAUAUAUUUGUCGCCGAAGUAAUUUUAAACUCGAUAACAGCUAUCACUAAUAUUUGCUCAUCGGUGUAUCAACGUUAAACUCUAUUGUCAAAAAAAAAAAA
Monomorium pharaonis (pharaoh ant) is the source of this 5332-nucleotide long non-coding RNA. RefSeq lists it as uncharacterized. The record is from RefSeq and is a predicted model, not a curated record. The transcript has 2 exons. Lineage: Eukaryota; Metazoa; Arthropoda; Insecta; Hymenoptera; Formicidae.